This 902-nucleotide unclassified non-coding RNA is filed under the name Bombus terrestris (buff-tailed bumblebee). Its description in RNAcentral is "misc RNA ENSBTSG00005029173.1". The record is from RNAcentral. Lineage: Eukaryota; Metazoa; Arthropoda; Insecta; Hymenoptera; Apidae.
CAACCGCUACUAGCUACGCUAUUAACUUCAUCCCAUACCUCCAAUUCCAAACAUAAACACGAUACACCAAAGAUUAACAAUCAAGCAGAAACCAAACGUCAGUUUCUCGCGCAAGCCCUAACCAAACCUCAGCACCAUUAGCCCCAUUAACAAGAUAAACAAUUCAUCGCUACGGUCCUCGCCCACUAAUUCCACCCACUUCAUCACCUCGCCAACCCUUCAAAAACCAGUACCAUCAUCCUUCAACUACCCCCUCGAGGUCUCUUCAUUCAUCCCCUAGCGAGCACUCAUAUCGUCGGCAAGCUCGGUUCAGCUACGAAAUUGAUUCCACACCACCGCAGGGACACGAUGGAGGGGAGACGUAUGAACGAGAGAAGGAGAAAAAGAAGAAGAAGAAGAAGAAGAAGCUGAAAAGUCUGAAUUCCCUCUCUCCCGCUGGUAAAACUCGCCAGGAAUUCCUGGGCCACGGCCGACUCGAAACCUCUUGGUCCGACUGGCGGAGUCCGGGUCCUGGCUACGGGGGCAAGCCUCUUAUCCACGCAGGAUCGGUCUGUGACUUUUGUCGGUGCGCGUUCCCCGGUCCUCUUUGAGUAAUGGAAGUCGACCGAAAUCAAUUUCAAUUCCUACGAGCCGGCGCUCGCUCGCCGUGCGCGGUUCCCUCUUUGAGAGAGGCACCGUUUCAGCUUCCAUGCGCGCCUCCCCUUGCUUAACACCUUUGGAUUUUAUGUGGAUGGUCUCUUCGCUCGCCGAUCGGGCGUAGGGUACGUGGACGAUUGGUAUGCCGACAAUCUCGCGAAUCCAACUCUUCUUGGUACGGAGCCGACUGAUACCGAGUCUUCGACGGUUUAUCUACCGAUAUCUAUCGCUCAGAGAGGGUUGAGACGUUGGUGUUGGGAAAAGGG